CCUACGGGUGGCAGCAGUGAGGAAUAUUGGUCAAUGGCCGAGAGGCUGAACCAGCCAAGUCGCGUGAGGGAAGAAUGUCCUACGGAUUGUAAACCUCUUUUGUCAGGGAGCAAAGCAACCCACGUGUGGGCUUUGGAGAGUACCCGAAGAAAAAGCAUCGGCUAACUCCGUGCCAGCAGCCGCGGUAAUACGGAGGAUGCGAGCGUUAUCCGGAGUUAUUGGGUUUAAAGGGUGCGUAGGCGGGUUAUCAAGUCAGCGGUAAAAUCGUGGAGCUCAACUCCAUCCAGCCGUUGAAACUGAUGGUCUUGAGUGGGCGAGAAGUAUGCGGAAUGCGGGGUGUAGCGGUGAAAUGCUUAGAUAUCACGCAGAACUCCGAUUGCGAAGGCAGCAUACCGGCGCCCGACUGACGCUGAAGCACGAAAGCGUGGGUAUCGAACAGGAUUAGAUACCCCAGUAGUC
Molecule: ribosomal RNA, 459 nt
Filed under: uncultured bacterium
Lineage: Bacteria
Description: partial 16S ribosomal RNA
Rfam family: Bacterial small subunit ribosomal RNA
Source: RNAcentral